This is an RNA transcript of Eucalyptus grandis, 701 nucleotides long. It is a transcript of the gene named zinc finger protein ZAT11-like, with no coding region annotated. The transcript has a single exon. The record is from RefSeq and is a predicted model, not a curated record. NCBI's taxonomy places the organism in Eukaryota, Viridiplantae, Streptophyta, Magnoliopsida, Myrtales, Myrtaceae.
UCGUCCCGACUCAGCAAGCAACAACAGACUUCCAGAGAUGGUGAAGAGAGACCGAGAAGACACGGAGGUCGAAGCCCUGGCUGUGGCCAACAGCUUGAUGCUCCUCUCCCGAGUCGGCCAGAGCACCGACUCGAACCACAAAUCAUGACCUACAGAGAGGAUCUUCGCGUGCAAGACGUGCAACCGCGAGUUCUCGUCCUUCCAGGCGCUCGGAGGGCACAGAGCCAGCCACAAGAAGCCGAAGCUGAUCUCUGGCGACCUCUUACACCUCGGCCACUCAGUGGAUUCCUCGCUGGACAAGCCGAAGACGCACAAGUGCUCGAUAUGUGGCCUCGAGUUCCCGCUUGGCCAAGCCCUUGGUGGUCACAUGAGGAGGCACAGGGCUGCCAUACUGAAGAGAUUGGCUGCGGCGGCCGCAGCUGCAAAGCCUGUGCCGGUGUUGAAGAAAUCGAACAGCAAGAUAGUCACGGGCUUGGAUUUGAACUCGUCGCCGAUGGAGGACGACUUGACCUUGCGUUUAGGAAAGUUUGCGCCGCCUUUGGCGCUAGAUCUCGUUUUGUAGGGCUUAGAGAACGUAGAUUGUGUACAGAGCAGUUUUCAGUCGGUGCCUGACCGUUCCUUUUUUUUCUUUUCCUUCUUUUUUGUAUUCAUUGAUUGAUACUUUGAAUCAGACACUGGGUUUCGCAUGGAUAUUCAUUUGU